GAAGAAAAGAGCCUCAGCAGUGGUCUGGUGGAGCGGAGGAUAAAAAGAGGAACCCCAACGCUCAUGCACUGGCAAGGCCAAUCCAGCAGGGAC
This is a non-coding RNA of Chelonoidis abingdonii (Abingdon island giant tortoise), 93 nucleotides long. NCBI's taxonomy places the organism in Eukaryota, Metazoa, Chordata, Testudines, Testudinidae. The record is from RefSeq and is a predicted model, not a curated record.